CCUACGGGAGGCAGCAGUGGGGAAUAUUGGGCAAUGGAGGAAACUCUGACCCAGCAACGCCGCGUGAAUGAUGAAGGUCUUCGGAUUGUAAAGUUCUUUUCUAAGGGAAGCAGAAAGUGACGGUACCUUAGGAAUAAGCCUCGGCUAACUACGUGCCAGCAGCCGCGGUAAUACGUGGGAGGCAAGCGUUAUUCGGAAUGACUGGGCGUAAAGGGUGCGUAGGUGGUUUGACAAGUUGGUAGCGUAACUCCGAGGCUUAACCUCGGCACUACCACCAAAACUGUUGGACUCGAGUGCAGGAGAGGCAAAUGGAAUUCCUAGUGUAGCGGUGGAAUGCGUAGAUAUUAGGAGGAACACCAGUGGCGAAGGCGAUUUGCUGGACUGUAACUGACACUGAGGCACGAAAGCGUGGGGAGCAAACAGGAUUAGAUACCCUUGUAGUC
This 443-nucleotide ribosomal RNA is filed under the name uncultured bacterium. RNAcentral's name for it is "partial 16S ribosomal RNA". It matches the Rfam family "Bacterial small subunit ribosomal RNA", at positions 338 to 795 of the family's 1533-position model. The record is from RNAcentral.